This 421-nucleotide ribosomal RNA is filed under the name uncultured Rhodoferax sp. Its description in RNAcentral is "bacterial SSU rRNA". It matches the Rfam family "Bacterial small subunit ribosomal RNA", at positions 963 to 1382 of the family's 1533-position model. Lineage: Bacteria; Pseudomonadati; Pseudomonadota; Betaproteobacteria; Burkholderiales; Comamonadaceae. The record is from RNAcentral.
GAAAAACCUUACCCACCUUUGACAUGUACGGAACCCUUUAGAGAUAGAGGGGCGCUCGAAAGAGAGCCGUAACACAGGUGCUGCAUGGCUGUCGUCAGCUCGUGUCGUGAGAUGUUGGGUUAAGUCCCGCAACGAGCGCAACCCUUUGUCAUUAGUUGCUACAUUCAGUUGGGCACUCUAAUGAGACUGCCGGUGACAAGCCGGAGGAAGGUGGGGAUGACGUCAAGUCCUCAUGGCCCUUAUAGGUGGGGCUACACACGUCAUACAAUGGGCUAGGGUACAAAGGGUUAGCCAACCGGCGAGGGGAGCCAAUCCAUAAGCCAGUCGUAGUCCGGAUCGUAGUCUGCAACUCGACUACGUGAAGUCGGAAUCGCUAGUAAUCGUGGAUCAGCAUGUCACGGUGAAUACGUUCCCGGGUCUU